This 324-nucleotide ribosomal RNA is filed under the name uncultured bacterium. RNAcentral describes it as "bacterial SSU rRNA". It matches the Rfam family "Bacterial small subunit ribosomal RNA", at positions 28 to 334 of the family's 1533-position model. The record is from RNAcentral.
GACGAGCGCUGGCGGCGUGCAUAACACAUGCAAGUCGAACGAUGAAGAAGAGAAUGGAGACUUCGGUCAAAGUUCGCUUCGGAUUAGUGGCAGACGGGUGAGUAACGCGUGAGCAACCUACCUCUUACAAAGGGAUAGCCAUGGGAAACCGUGAUUAAUACCGUAUGACAUUGCUUUUUUGCAUGAAGAAGCAAUUAAACUCAGGUGGUGUAAGAUGGGCUCGCGUCUGAUUAGCUAGUUGGUGAGGUAACGGCCCACCAAGGCGACGAUCAGUAGCCGGCUUGAGAGAGUGAACGGCCACACUGGAACUGAGACACGGUCCAG